GUGCCAGCAGCCGCGGUAAUACGUAGGUGGCAAGCGUUAUCCGGAAUUAUUGGGCGUAAAGCGCGCGUAGGCGGUUUUUUAAGUCUGAUGUGAAAGCCCACGGCUCAACCGUGGAGGGUCAUUGGAAACUGGAAAACUUGAGUGCAGAAGAGGAAAGUGGAAUUCCAUGUGUAGCGGUGAAAUGCGCAGAGAUAUGGAGGAACACCAGUGGCGAAGGCGACUUUCUGGUCUGUAACUGACGCUGAUGUGCGAAAGCGUGGGGAUCAAACAGGAUUAGAUAC
Molecule: ribosomal RNA, 281 nt
Filed under: uncultured Staphylococcus sp.
Lineage: Bacteria; Bacillati; Bacillota; Bacilli; Caryophanales; Staphylococcaceae
Description: partial 16S ribosomal RNA
Rfam family: Bacterial small subunit ribosomal RNA
Source: RNAcentral